AGCUUUGCACAGUGGCAGUAUCGUAGCCAAUGAGGUUUAUCCGAGGCGCGAUUAUUGCUAAUUGUAUGCUCUCAGAAAGCUAAAAAUUAAGAGAGGUAUUUCUUUCUCUCAGGAGUCUGA
RNAcentral lists this small nuclear RNA (120 nucleotides) under Neogale vison (American mink). Its description in RNAcentral is "Neovison vison (American mink) U4 spliceosomal RNA (ENSNVIG00000000921.1)". It matches the Rfam family "U4 spliceosomal RNA". From Rfam's summary of the family: U4 small nuclear RNA (U4 snRNA) is a component of the major U2-dependent spliceosome. The record is from Rfam by way of RNAcentral. Lineage: Eukaryota; Metazoa; Chordata; Mammalia; Carnivora; Mustelidae.